Long non-coding RNA from Rhincodon typus (whale shark), 586 nucleotides. RefSeq lists it as uncharacterized. The transcript has 4 exons. The record is from RefSeq and is a predicted model, not a curated record. NCBI's taxonomy places the organism in Eukaryota, Metazoa, Chordata, Chondrichthyes, Orectolobiformes, Rhincodontidae.
CAGUCUUUUUUUUCACCCUUUACAAUUGCUCAGAGGUUGAGCUAAGGAUUUUAGGUAGGAAGGUUUCUGGGGGGCGAAUCAGGAACAAAAAAGGGUUCGAAUUUGCCAGGUAGACUUUUCCGAGGUGGGGAAAAUGCUUUUCAAUGAUUUUUGGCUUUGAAAUGUUGGAGCUCGACGAGGUUACAGGCAGAUGCUCUGCAGGACCUUACUGUUUGACAUGCAGAGUAAUGUGUCCUGUUCCCUUCCAGUAUUAUAGCUUGUGAAGUAUGCAGAUUAUCACUAGCAAUUGUUUGUUGGAAAGUUAAUUCCCUGGAUGGAGGGAUUCCGAGAACCAGGGUGCUGGAACAAGGGAAUCAUGGAGCAUUCUGUCGACUCUACUUUAGCAGCACAUAAAUAUUGGCAGGUUCCAAUACUGUUUUGCCAAUAUUGCGUGUGCUGCUCCAAUAUGGCUCGACGCUUGCAGCAAAUUGCAGGAGCACAUGGUAACUUUGAAGACCCUGUUGUGUAAGAAUCAUUGUCCUGGUUUGUUUGCACCAUGUUGAAUUCCAAAUGUGAAAAAAAUAAAAGCAAAAGAACUCCAUUAGCA